GAUGAACUCAUUGAAAGUUUAUGUAGUGUCUACCAAAUGGUCAUACUAGCAGAGUCCAGCAGUGUCCAGAUACUCAGAAAGAAGAAGUGAACUUUGUUGGCUCCUGUGUCAGGCAUUUCUCACCUGGGCUAAAAGCUUUCUCGGCUCUUGAGAGGGAGCUUUCCAUCAGAGAAUGAAACCAAUACAAAGGAAGACAGAGCUGAACUUUGAGAACAAGAAUGCAUGGACGGCACAAUUUUAGGUCUAGAAAGAGCGACAAGUGAUAACAUCAGAGGCCUGGAUUUCCCAUUCAGACAAACCAGUACAUUCCCUUCCCUCUUCAGCUACUUGAAAGUAGAUAUAUUUCAUUUGCAAUUGAGUCCUAAAUAAUGAUAACUUUAUCUUAUAGGAGUAAGGUUUUGUAAAUAACAUCUGUAAAUGUAGUGCCAGAUGAAGCACAGGGGCUAUGCAGAACAAAGAAUUCCUCUUCUUAGUGGUCGAGAAGUCAGAAAACACUUAAGUCUAAGAUGACUGAUAUUGCUACAGUGUCUUCAGGCUCAAGCCAUGUCCUGGAGAAGGAAGACAAUAAUGCUAGAGAAGACUGUUCAUUUCUUAUGGCCAUUGUUCAUUUCUUAUGGCCAUUGUUGAUGUGCUAUGAGACAGCAAUGAGCUAAAUGGAAAUCAAAGAGCUUUUCUCAGAAAAGUCCAUCUUGUAUUAGCCAGCAGUCCUGGUUUACUGAGAAGAACCACAUGACAAGCCCAAUUCUCUACACCAAGUUACACUCGACAUAAGUGAGGUUUAAAGAAAGUUAACAAGUAGAAGGAGAAAAACUUGGAACCCAGAAGCAUAUUUCUCAUCAUCACCUUCCAAACGCACUCUCUUUUAUAAAAUUAAAAGCUAUUCUCAGGGGUGUAAGAGAAAACAGGAAGCUUUCAUCUUACCUCUUCAUCCUAUUACAUGGUGAACUUAGAAAAUAGAAUAAAGAUGUCCUGUUGCCAAGGAGAAGACAAUGUCAGACAAUGGUGUAGAUCCAAUGGCCAGCCACCCUCAGUGUGGAUUUGACUCAACAUUUAUCAACCAACAUCUCAGUAGGAUUCAAGAAAACCAUGAUGUAUGUAUUGAUUUGUUUUAUUGCCAACUCAAUACAAUCUAGAACUACUGGGAAGAGAGACCCUUGACUGAAUUGUAUGAUCAAGUUAGUUUUGUCUGUGGCCAAGAAUGGUCUUGAUUACUGACUGAUGUGGGAGUCAGAGGAUAUCCCACUGCGGGCAGCAUCAUCCCUAGAAUCAUGGGCCGAAGUUAUAUAAGAAGAUAACAUUCAGAAAUCCAUGGAGGGAGCCAAAAAGAAGUGUUUCUCUACAUUCUUCCCAGCUUCCUGCCUUGAGUUCCUGCCCUGAUUUCCCUCAGUGAUGGACUGUGAAGUGAAAACUGAAAUAAACCCUUUCUUCCCCAGAUUGCUUUGGUCAAAAUGUUUUUUGACUAAAAAACAUAGCAACAAUAACAAAAAGCAAACUGGAACAAUUUACAACAUGGGUAGUCAACCACUGGGAUAGUCACAGGCUGGUGAAUUCAUUACUAGAAAGUGAGAGGCCCUAAGAAGGCAAGUUAACCAUUGUGUCUCUUAAUGCUGGUCAUGGAGUCCAGAAAGGAGAGUUCCUGCUGAUCAACAGACCCAGGGAAAGCCAGGCUGGCCACUCAGGCCCUCAGAGUUGAGGUGUAUUGGUUGGCUCUGUCCUCUGCACUGUGUUCCUGGCGGUAUAUGUUCUGCUUUCCUGUCUUCUUUUUCCAAGAGGGAGCUUUAAUUGCAUUUUUUUUCUCUCUCUCUACCAUUGUGUAGCAUAUGUGUUGGGGAAGAAGUGAGAAAAAGGUUAUUCAGCCAUAAGUUUCCACAAGCAAGAACUAGAACUAUCCAUAUCAGAAGUUUAACCACAGAAAACCCAAUUCUUGAAGUAGAAGAAACUGAUGUGAUGCGGGAAUUAAGAGCCGUGGCUGGCUGUGGAGUCUUAUUACUGAUCUACCAUCUACUCGGUAGCUGAGUGACUUUGGCCAACUUAUACCUUUUCACUGUGCCUCAGUUUCUUUACACAUAAAACAUGGAGAUUGGAAAUAGGAAUCAAAAAUAGCAAUUCCUCCAAAGAAAG
This is a long non-coding RNA of Mus musculus (house mouse), 2121 nucleotides long. RefSeq annotates it as predicted gene 12514. The transcript is spliced from 3 exons. The record is from RefSeq and is a predicted model, not a curated record. Lineage: Eukaryota; Metazoa; Chordata; Mammalia; Rodentia; Muridae.